GCUGGGUAUGCAAGGGAGCUCGUAUGAGUGAAGUGAACAGUGGCUGUGGUAUGGGAUAGACAUUCCCCCUUAGUUACUAGCAUCCCAAAACCCCAGCCUCAUUUUCAGUCCUCAGGAACACCCACAGUCCUAGACACUUACGAACCCAGUAAGAGGGGUGGUGUGCAUAUUCCACAAGUGGACUGAUGAAACCCAUCACACUGUAGGUGAAAGCCCCUGUCACCAAACCCUAACAGUCAAUGCCUCCACAGCAGAGUGGUGGCCAAGGUUACCCCAAGGAGCCUGGUCUCCUUCUAACUUAAGCUACCUCAAUUGUGUCUUGUAAAAAAAGGCCUGGUACUAUACAAACACCACUAACCCUUAAGCUGCAUACCCCUGCCUAAGUGCACUAUGGGACAAUCCUAUGAACACCAGCCUACAAUGGAUUGCCCCUGAAGGAUUCUUUUGGAUAUGUGGAACCCAGGCUUACUCAUGGCUACCUUAUCACUGGCAAGGUACUUGCUUCCUAGGCAUAGUUAAACCUGGAUUCUUUUUACUUCCAAAGCAGGUGGGCAACACCCUUGGAGUCCCUGUAUGUGAUAACCUAAACAGAGAAAAACAAUCCUUAAAGGUAGGAGGAAGCCAAAGAUGGCGAGAGGACAAGUGGCCUCUGCAAUGGAUCAUUGAAUAUUAUGGCCCUGCCACUUGGGCUGAGGAUGGUUCAUGGGGUUAUCACACUCCCAUAUAUAGGCUAAAUAGAAUAAUUAUACUACAGGCUAUUCUAAAGAUAAUCACUAACCAAACUGCCUCAGCCCUGGAAAUGCUUGCACAACAACAAAACCAAAUGCACACGACAACUUAUCAAAACAGACUGACACUAGACUACUUAUUAGCAGAAGAGGGUGGGGUCUAUGAUAAGUUUAAUAUCUCCAAUUGUUGUCUUAACAUAGAAUAUAAUGGAAAAGUGGUUCUAGAGAUUGCCUCAAACAUCAGAAAAGUAGCCCAUGUACCAGUCCAAACCUGGAAGGGAUGGGACCCGAUAAACCUUCUAGGAGGGUGGCUCUCUAAUUUAGGAGGAUUUAAAACGCUGGUAGAGACAGUAAUCUUCAUCAUUGGGUUCCUCCUGUUUCUCCCCUAUCCCACUGAUAAUGAAAGCCACUAAAACUUGUUGAAACUACAGUUAACUGCCAGACAAUCCAGACGAUGCUCCUGCUACAAUGACACAAUGGAUACCAACCCGUCUCUCAAGAAUACCCCAAAAAUUAAGUUUUUCUUUAUUCCGAGGUGCCCAUGGCACCCCCUAUGUCAUACCUGAAGUAGUUAUUGAGAAAGUUGUCCCUUUUCCCUUUUCUAUAACCGAAUAGACAGGAAUUAAAGAUUCUCCCCAGGGCCUGAAAGUUUGGGGGGAUGAAUAACUCCUCCCUCCUCAGGCCCAGUCCCAAGGCACAAAGCCACUUGCGUCAGCAGCGUGCAUCAGCAAGAUAGAAGAAGCAGGAAGAGAGCUGGCUGGAAGACAUGUACCCACUGGAGAUCGAGAGAGGGAGCCAUCAGGGUACCACGUAGCAGUUAGGUCAGACUGGGACACUUCUUGUUUACUGGAGACUAUAAAACCCCUGCCUGCCCUCACCUGGGGCUGACACCAUUUUAGGCCUCAGCCCAUCUGCACCCAGGUGCUCACUAAAACAGCGUGUUUCUCCACACCACCUUGUGUUGUUUGUUGGCACGUUCUCAGGGUUUGAACCACUAAAAGAGCCUUUCAGAAAAGAGGUUUAAUUGACUCACAGUUUUGCAUGGCUGGAGAUGCCUCAGGAAACUUACAGUCAUAGUGGAAGGCACUUUUACACAAGGCAGCAGGAGUGAAUGAAUGCCAAGCAAAGGGGGAAGCCCCUUAUUAAACCAUCAGCUCUUGUGAGAACUCACUCACUAUUAUGAGAACUGCAUGGGGGAAACUGUUCCC
Molecule: long non-coding RNA, 1936 nt
Filed under: Homo sapiens (human)
Lineage: Eukaryota; Metazoa; Chordata; Mammalia; Primates; Hominidae
Description: non-protein coding lnc-TMTC3-8:1
Source: RNAcentral